This is a non-coding RNA of Paramuricea clavata, 210 nucleotides long. NCBI's taxonomy places the organism in Eukaryota, Metazoa, Cnidaria, Anthozoa, Malacalcyonacea, Plexauridae. The record is from the annotation of a GenBank genome assembly.
CUCGUAUACAUCCAACUACUCAUAAUUAUAAUCUUAGGUCCGAAUCAAGCUGGUCACUCCAAACGAACACAGAACGGUUUCAAAAUUUUAUAACUGUUAAAUAUAAUUAUUAAUGUAUUAUUGAUUUAGUAGUACUCGUGUAUAUUCAGGUACCCAAUUAUAAUUUGUGGACAGAUUUAAACUGACUAUUCAGAACGAACAUUGAACGGU